RNAcentral lists this unclassified non-coding RNA (344 nucleotides) under soil metagenome. Its description in RNAcentral is "partial contains 5.8S ribosomal RNA, internal transcribed spacer 2, and large subunit ribosomal RNA". The stretch from base 1 to 120 matches the Rfam family "5.8S ribosomal RNA", at positions 35 to 154 of the family's 154-position model. The record is from RNAcentral.
GAUGAAGAACGCAGCGAAAUGCGAUAAGUAAUGUGAAUUGCAGAAUUCAGUGAAUCAUCGAAUCUUUGAACGCACAUUGCGCCCGCCAGUAUUCUGGCGGGCAUGCCUGUUCGAGCGUCAUUUCAACCCUCAAGCACUGCUUGGUGUUGGGGACCGGCUUGCCUUCAGCGCCUGCCGCCCCCGAAAUACAGUGGCGGUCUCGCCGCAGCCUCCUCUGCGUAGUAGUUUACAACCUCGCAUACGGAGCGCGGCGCGGCCACGCCGUAAAACCCCCUACUUUCAAAGGUUGACCUCGAAUCAGGUAGGAAUACCCGCUGAACUUAAGUAUAUCAAUAAGCGGAGGA